CAGAGUUAUGCCCUUUAUAGGGUAGACCUCCAACCCUAUGUGUAUUUACUUUUGUUGCUUUGGCGAGUCGUAAAGCUUAGGCUUUCCAUUGGCUUUGGCUAAUGUGUUACCCGUCAGAGGAAACUAAAACUCUGAAUUAUUAGUGUUGUCUGAGUACUUUUAAAAUAAUUA
Molecule: unclassified non-coding RNA, 171 nt
Filed under: uncultured Ascomycota
Lineage: Eukaryota; Fungi; Ascomycota
Description: sequence contains ITS1
Source: RNAcentral